Molecule: ribosomal RNA, 382 nt
Filed under: Bacillus pumilus
Lineage: Bacteria; Bacillati; Bacillota; Bacilli; Caryophanales; Bacillaceae
Description: bacterial SSU rRNA
Rfam family: Bacterial small subunit ribosomal RNA
Source: RNAcentral
AGGGCUUUCCCUUCGGGGACAGAGUGACAGGUGGUGCAUGGUUGUCGUCAGCUCGUGUCGUGAGAUGUUGGGUUAAGUCCCGCAACGAGCGCAACCCUUGAUCUUAGUUGCCAGCAUUUAGUUGGGCACUCUAAGGUGACUGCCGGUGACAAACCGGAGGAAGGUGGGGAUGACGUCAAAUCAUCAUGCCCCUUAUGACCUGGGCUACACACGUGCUACAAUGGACAGAACAAAGGGCUGCGAGACCGCAAGGUUUAGCCAAUCCCACAAAUCUGUUCUCAGUUCGGAUCGCAGUCUGCAACUCGACUGCGUGAAGCUGGAAUCGCUAGUAAUCGCGGAUCAGCAUGCCGCGGUGAAUACGUUCCCGGGUCUUGUACACACC